Molecule: ribosomal RNA, 508 nt
Filed under: uncultured bacterium
Lineage: Bacteria
Description: partial 16S ribosomal RNA
Rfam family: Bacterial small subunit ribosomal RNA
Source: RNAcentral
GAUGAACGCUAGCUACAGGCUUAACACAUGCAAGUCGAGGGGAAACGAUAUUGGAAGCUUGCUUCCGAUAGGCGUCGACCGGCGCACGGGUGAGUAACGUGUAUCCAACCUGCCCAUCACUUGGGGAUAACCUUGCGAAAGUAAGACUAAUACCCAAUGACGUCUCUAGAAGACAUCUGAAAGAGAUUAAAGAUUUAUCGGUGAUGGAUGGGGAGGCGUCUGAUUAGCUUGUUGGCGGGGUAACGGCCCACCAAGGCGACGAUCAGUAGGGGUUCUGAGAGGAAGGUCCCCCACAUUGGAACUGAGACACGGUCCAAACUCCUACGGGAGGCAGCAGUGAGGAAUAUUGGUCAAUGGGCGAGAGCCUGAACCAGCCAAGUAGCGUGCAGGGUGACGGCCCUAUGGGUUGUAAACUGCUUUUAUAAGGGAAUAAAGUGAGCCACGUGUGGCUUUUUGCAUGUACCUUAUGAAUAAGGACCGGCUAAUUCCGUGCCAGCAGCCGCAGUAA